AACGUAGGAGACAAACGUUAUCCGGAGUUACUGGGCGUAAAGGGCGUGUAGGCGGUUCGUUAAGUCUGGCGUGAAAGCUCUCGGCUAAACCGGGAGAGGUCGUUGGAUACUGGCAAACUAGAGGACGGUAGAGGCGUGUGGAAUUCCGGGUGUAGUGGUGAAAUGCGUAGAGAUCCGGAGGAACACCAGUGGCGAAGGCGGCUCUCUGGGACGGUACUGACGCUGAGACGCGAAAGCGUGGGGAGCGAACAGG
RNAcentral lists this ribosomal RNA (253 nucleotides) under uncultured bacterium. RNAcentral describes it as "partial 16S ribosomal RNA". It matches the Rfam family "Bacterial small subunit ribosomal RNA", at positions 524 to 776 of the family's 1533-position model. The record is from RNAcentral.